UCUUCGUGGUCGGCCACGGCGGCGUCCCUCCCUCCGCCCUCCGCCCUCUGCCUUUGCCCCUCCUCUUCGUGCUAGCCCACACCCCACCCCAGCUGGUCGCCGCCCUUCGUCGUCGUCCUCGGUCACGGCGGCACCCCUCUGUCUUAUCCUUGCUCCGGUACAGGUACCGCCACCAGAUGGCCCGAUUCACCCCCGUCCACCCUCUCCCCCUGGCGGCGACCUCCACUGCGGACGCAGUUAGGGACUGCACAGGCUUCCCAACGAGCGCUGCCCCCCCCUGCUGCCCCCCUCUCUCUCUCUCCGACUGCCCCUUUUGACUUCGGAUGACAUUCAUAUGAUCCCGUCUUCCUUUGUUCAGCUAUUCUACAGAUGGACUGCACUAUGUAUCUUUUGUGUCUCAGGCAACAGGAACUAUGGUGAUGGUGUGGAGUGUGCACCAACAUUUUCAAAAUUGCAAGCCAGAUCUGCAACAACAAAGACUUGUUUUGCUGUGUUUCAUCGUAUUGCAAAAUACAGACAUUCCGAUAUUCUAUUAUAGCAAGUUCUUAAUGCAUUAUAUCAUCAUUACAAAUGAGUUCUGUGUUACACGAGCCAUGGUGAUAGAAUGCCCCAAAGAAAACGGGUUUAAUCUGCAGCACACUGUUUCAAUCUCUGCCCCAUUUUCAUUUUUCAGUCGCUAAGUAGAAGCCCAUAAUGCUAAAUUUAAUUCCUGAACAGAGUAUCUGAGUUUCUGCUUACGGAUUGUAUAUGUUACCUUUAUUCAAUAGACAAAGUUUGAGCGUAGUAGUGAAUGCGUGUUUGUCUUGAGUCUCUACCGAUUUGAGUUGUAAUACAUCAUGCUUGCAAUCUUGUUUUGUCUGUGGCUUUCUCCCACAUUAAUCAUUCUGAUGUGUUACCAGCUCUUCCCUUGGAUCUUCACGUGGACUUCGUGUGAACUCUUAAUUUUCUAAGACUAAGAAGAAAUUGAAUAGAAACUGCAACGGCAUAGCUAGUAGUAUCAGUUGCACUUCCAAUGGAAGUGAGCAUGCAGUUGGUGCUAAAGGUGAUGAUCUUUAAGCUGAUGUUGACUCUACCACAUGCCAUCAGUCUGAUCUGCCAUUGAACAUUGACAUUGGUAGCAAGAUGGUACUAAGUUGAAUUCCAUCUUAUUGCAAUAUUUGUGCUUUAUUGAACUGUUUUUUAUACUUGAGACUUUCAAUUUAUUCCUGUGCUUUGUUAGUUAAACACUUAUUUUUUAUCUUCUCAGUAGUUAACUUGUAUUGUUAGUACCAUACCUUGCUUUACUACAUGCCUACAUCAUUCUUGUGAUCAGUAAAAAACUCUUAUGCCACUAUUGACAUGCAGAAAAGUUUUAAUGGCUCAUCUCUAAUUAGCUAAACACGUGAAAUAUGGGAUAUGGCCUACUCAUUUCGUGUAAUUGGGUGAUGCUAUAAGCAAAACAAUGGCCAACUAUGAGUACUAACUGCAUCCUUUUUCCUACAGAAAACUAAUUAUUAUACUGGUGCGCAAAAAUAUUCUAGCAUCUUCAGUGAGAUUUAAAUGGGAAACAGAGGCUAGGGGAAUAUGAUUUGUUCAGUAAACAUGUGCACAGUUUCUUCUUGGAAAUGCAUUACACUUUAUGCAGCAAAUAAUCUAAAUAUUGAUGGUGAAUAAAAUGGAACAAAAUUUUGGAUAGAAACAAAUGACUGAAUGGUGGCAGAAAUUUCAGUACAUGGUAGAAGAUGUGCUAUACAGUUCAUACCUUGCGCAUAAAAGUAUUUGUGUAAUUGUGUUUAAUUUAUGAGCCAAUACCAGUCUUUUUAUGUUGAAACAUCAAACACCACAACACCAAACGUUUCUGGCCUCAUUUAUCUGUACAUGAAGAUAAACUGGAUCAUUCUUAUGGCACUAAGGCCACUUAACAUAUUUUCCAAUAUUAAUUCUUGAAAGUGAUACUAGGAAACCAUACUAUUAUUAUGCUGUGCUACUUGAACAUUGUGCCAAAGAAGUUAUGAUACUUCAUAUUUGCUAAAUCAGGUAUCCAAGCGGUCUUCUCGUGCUGGCAAAUAAGUUAGGGAAAACAUGCAGGGAACAAACUGUCAGGGAUGAAUUCCUGAAGGGAUGAAGAGAGGGUUGUGCUGGACAUCAGUAUACUUCCCUCGGGGUUUGUAGAUUUUAGCGACUUCUUAAGGGGGAUGAGUUAGAUUUUGGUGAGGGGAUUGUUCAAAAGAGAGGAUAGUAUAUUCUUGAGCUCCUGGAGGAUCGGACUAUUCAUAUCUGGAAGAUUUCUGUGCUUUCAGACUUGGGAAAUAUACUCCUGUUGAAACAAGCUAGAUCUUGACAUAUUCAGACUUGUGAAAUAUAACGUGAAUAGAGUGAGGGCAGCAAAGAUGCGCAAACCAUAAUUGAGAGAGUUGGCACUCGGAUUAAUGGCUGCAAAGAGGAAGGGCUAAUUGGCUCUCAAUGCAUUUCACCGCUCCACCAGAAUCCCAACAUCUCCUCAUGACGGUAUUCGGCAACGGCGUUGGCCUCGGCUCCAUCUCCACUGCCUGCCUGCCUGCCUCUUCCAAAGAUGUAGCCGUUCGCAGUGGCGGUGGCCUCCCCUCACUGAAUCGUGGCUGGAGCACUCUGCCCGCUGUGAUCUCUGUGGAUCGGGGCAGCAGCAUGCGCUCUGAAGACGUGCUGGUGAUGUCACCAACAGGCGCCGUCGCAUUCCAGAGCAGGGCGAGAAUAAGGUGCGAGGAGAUCUCGUUCCAGGCUGGGCGUCCUCGCCCAAAGUGUAUAUAUGCGCGUGUGCUGAAUUCUUUCACGUGCGAAUCAAGGAAAGAUUGAUGAGUAGUCAUCUUGUUUCGGUUGGAACUUGGAAAGUUGUCGUUUGUUUGUUGGUGCUCUCCAUUGUCAAUCAAUUACACAGUAGUAUUAUCUAUUAUGGAUGGUUCAGCCUCAGACUUGCAUUACAUUUUGCUGGGCUUUGUUUUGUU
This is a long non-coding RNA of Aegilops tauschii subsp. strangulata, 2960 nucleotides long. RefSeq lists it as uncharacterized. The record is from RefSeq and is a predicted model, not a curated record. Lineage: Eukaryota; Viridiplantae; Streptophyta; Magnoliopsida; Poales; Poaceae.